This 424-nucleotide ribosomal RNA is filed under the name uncultured bacterium. Its description in RNAcentral is "partial 16S ribosomal RNA". It matches the Rfam family "Bacterial small subunit ribosomal RNA", at positions 360 to 776 of the family's 1533-position model. The record is from RNAcentral.
AAUUUUGGACAAUGGGCGCAAGCCUGAUCCAGCCAUGCCGCGUGAGUGAAGAAGGCCUCCGGGUUGUAAAGCUCUUUCGGACGGAAAGAAAUCGCCCAGGCUAAUACCCUGCGCGGCUGACGGCACCGUCAUUAUCAGCACCCGUUAACUACUUGCCAGUAGCCGCGGUAAUACGUAGGGUGCGAGCGUUAAUCGGAAUUACUGGGCGUAAAGCGUGCGCAGGCGGUUGAUUAAGACAGGCGUGAAGUCCCCGGGCUUAACCUGGGAACUGCGCUUGUGACUGGUCAGCUAGAGUACGGCAGGGGGGGGUGGAAUUCCACGUGUAGCAGUGAAAUGCGUAGAGAUGUGGAGGAACACCGAUGGCGAAGGCAGCCCCCUGGGCCGAUACUGACGCUCAUGCACGAAAGCGUGGGUAGCAAACAGG